GCGUGGGUUUGGAUUUAUGGCAGGCCUGUUCCACUGGGCCUCUCCUAGUGUCCCAUGCCAGAGCAACUGUGGCCCUGAACCAUUGUCUGGCCUCUGCCCAUAGGCUGCAGGCACAGAAGCAGGUUGCACAGUG
This 133-nucleotide small nucleolar RNA is filed under the name Vicugna pacos (alpaca). RNAcentral's name for it is "Small nucleolar RNA SNORA42/SNORA80 family (ENSVPAG00000016468.1)". It matches the Rfam family "Small nucleolar RNA SNORA42/SNORA80 family". From Rfam's summary of the family: The members of this family belong to the H/ACA class of snoRNAs that guide the sites of modification of uridines to pseudouridines. Human ACA42 (SNORA42) was cloned from HeLa cells by immunoprecipitation with anti-GAR1 antibody. The record is from Rfam by way of RNAcentral. Lineage: Eukaryota; Metazoa; Chordata; Mammalia; Artiodactyla; Camelidae.